Molecule: microRNA, 23 nt
Filed under: Ovis aries (sheep)
Lineage: Eukaryota; Metazoa; Chordata; Mammalia; Artiodactyla; Bovidae
Description: microRNA let-7a
Source: RNAcentral
UGAGGUAGUAGGUUGUAUAGUCC